Molecule: ribosomal RNA, 2932 nt
Filed under: Escherichia coli
Lineage: Bacteria; Pseudomonadati; Pseudomonadota; Gammaproteobacteria; Enterobacterales; Enterobacteriaceae
Description: bacterial LSU rRNA
Rfam family: Bacterial large subunit ribosomal RNA
Source: RNAcentral
GGGUUGUGAGGUUAAGCGACUAAGCGUACACGGUGGAUGCCCUGGCAGUCAGAGGCGAUGAAGGACGUGCUAAUCUGCGAUAAGCGUCGGUAAGGUGAUAUGAACCGUUAUAACCGGCGAUUUCCGAAUGGGGAAACCCAGUGUGAUUCGUCACACUAUCAUUAACUGAAUCCAUAGGUUAAUGAGGCGAACCGGGGGAACUGAAACAUCUAAGUACCCCGAGGAAAAGAAAUCAACCGAGAUUCCCCCAGUAGCGGCGAGCGAACGGGGAGCAGCCCAGAGCCUGAAUCAGUAUGUGUGUUAGUGGAAGCGUCUGGAAAGGCGCGCGAUACAGGGUGACAGCCCCGUACACAAAAAUGCACAUGCUGUGAGCUCGAUGAGUAGGGCGGGACACGUGGUAUCCUGUCUGAAUAUGGGGGGACCAUCCUCCAAGGCUAAAUACUCCUGACUGACCGAUAGUGAACCAGUACCGUGAGGGAAAGGCGAAAAGAACCCCGGCGAGGGGAGUGAAAAAGAACCUGAAACCGUGUACGUACAAGCAGUGGGAGCACAGAGCAAUCUGUGUGACUGCGUACCUUUUGUAUAAUGGGUCAGCGACUUAUAUUCUGUAGCAAGGUUAACCGAAUAGGGGAGCCGAAGGGAAACCGAGUCUUAACUGGGCGUUAAGUUGCAGGGUAUAGACCCGAAACCCGGUGAUCUAGCCAUGGGCAGGUUGAAGGUUGGGUAACACUAACUGGAGGACCGAACCGACUAAUGUUGAAAAAUUAGCGGAUGACUUGUGGCUGGGGGUGAAAGGCCAAUCAAACCGGGAGAUAGCUGGUUCUCCCCGAAAGCUAUUUAGGUAGCGCCUCGUGAAUUCAUCUCCGGGGGUAGAGCACUGUUUCGGCAAGGGGGUCAUCCCGACUUACCAACCCGAUGCAAACUGCGAAUACCGGAGAAUGUUAUCACGGGAGACACACGGCGGGUGCUAACGUCCGUCGUGAAGAGGGAAACAACCCAGACCGCCAGCUAAGGUCCCAAAGUCAUGGUUAAGUGGGAAACGAUGUGGGAAGGCCCAGACAGCCAGGAUGUUGGCUUAGAAGCAGCCAUCAUUUAAAGAAAGCGUAAUAGCUCACUGGUCGAGUCGGCCUGCGCGGAAGAUGUAACGGGGCUAAACCAUGCACCGAAGCUGCGGCAGCGACGCUUAUGCGUUGUUGGGUAGGGGAGCGUUCUGUAAGCCUGCGAAGGUGUGCUGUGAGGCAUGCUGGAGGUAUCAGAAGUGCGAAUGCUGACAUAAGUAACGAUAAAGCGGGUGAAAAGCCCGCUCGCCGGAAGACCAAGGGUUCCUGUCCAACGUUAAUCGGGGCAGGGUGAGUCGACCCCUAAGGCGAGGCCGAAAGGCGUAGUCGAUGGGAAACAGGUUAAUAUUCCUGUACUUGGUGUUACUGCGAAGGGGGGACGGAGAAGGCUAUGUUGGCCGGGCGACGGUUGUCCCGGUUUAAGCGUGUAGGCUGGUUUUCCAGGCAAAUCCGGAAAAUCAAGGCUGAGGCGUGAUGACGAGGCACUACGGUGCUGAAGCAACAAAUGCCCUGCUUCCAGGAAAAGCCUCUAAGCAUCAGGUAACAUCAAAUCGUACCCCAAACCGACACAGGUGGUCAGGUAGAGAAUACCAAGGCGCUUGAGAGAACUCGGGUGAAGGAACUAGGCAAAAUGGUGCCGUAACUUCGGGAGAAGGCACGCUGAUAUGUAGGUGAAGUCCCUCGCGGAUGGAGCUGAAAUCAGUCGAAGAUACCAGCUGGCUGCAACUGUUUAUUAAAAACACAGCACUGUGCAAACACGAAAGUGGACGUAUACGGUGUGACGCCUGCCCGGUGCCGGAAGGUUAAUUGAUGGGGUUAGCGCAAGCGAAGCUCUUGAUCGAAGCCCCGGUAAACGGCGGCCGUAACUAUAACGGUCCUAAGGUAGCGAAAUUCCUUGUCGGGUAAGUUCCGACCUGCACGAAUGGCGUAAUGAUGGCCAGGCUGUCUCCACCCGAGACUCAGUGAAAUUGAACUCGCUGUGAAGAUGCAGUGUACCCGCGGCAAGACGGAAAGACCCCGUGAACCUUUACUAUAGCUUGACACUGAACAUUGAGCCUUGAUGUGUAGGAUAGGUGGGAGGCUUUGAAGUGUGGACGCCAGUCUGCAUGGAGCCGACCUUGAAAUACCACCCUUUAAUGUUUGAUGUUCUAACGUUGACCCGUAAUCCGGGUUGCGGACAGUGUCUGGUGGGUAGUUUGACUGGGGCGGUCUCCUCCUAAAGAGUAACGGAGGAGCACGAAGGUUGGCUAAUCCUGGUCGGACAUCAGGAGGUUAGUGCAAUGGCAUAAGCCAGCUUGACUGCGAGCGUGACGGCGCGAGCAGGUGCGAAAGCAGGUCAUAGUGAUCCGGUGGUUCUGAAUGGAAGGGCCAUCGCUCAACGGAUAAAAGGUACUCCGGGGAUAACAGGCUGAUACCGCCCAAGAGUUCAUAUCGACGGCGGUGUUUGGCACCUCGAUGUCGGCUCAUCACAUCCUGGGGCUGAAGUAGGUCCCAAGGGUAUGGCUGUUCGCCAUUUAAAGUGGUACGCGAGCUGGGUUUAGAACGUCGUGAGACAGUUCGGUCCCUAUCUGCCGUGGGCGCUGGAGAACUGAGGGGGGCUGCUCCUAGUACGAGAGGACCGGAGUGGACGCAUCACUGGUGUUCGGGUUGUCAUGCCAAUGGCACUGCCCGGUAGCUAAAUGCGGAAGAGAUAAGUGCUGAAAGCAUCUAAGCACGAAACUUGCCCCGAGAUGAGUUCUCCCUGACUCCUUGAGAGUCCUGAAGGAACGUUGAAGACGACGACGUUGAUAGGCCGGGUGUGUAAGCGCAGCGAUGCGUUGAGCUAACCGGUACUAAUGAACCGUGAGGCUUAACCUUACAACGCCGAAGCUGUU